GGUUGUAGCUCAGUGGUAGAGCGCUUGCCUUGCAUGCGUGAGGUCCUGGGUUCGGUCCCUAGGACCA
This 67-nucleotide transfer RNA is filed under the name Ictidomys tridecemlineatus (thirteen-lined ground squirrel). RNAcentral's name for it is "Spermophilus tridecemlineatus (thirteen-lined ground squirrel) tRNA". It matches the Rfam family "tRNA". Rfam says of the family: Transfer RNA (tRNA) molecules are approximately 80 nucleotides in length. Lineage: Eukaryota; Metazoa; Chordata; Mammalia; Rodentia; Sciuridae. The record is from Rfam by way of RNAcentral.